Molecule: long non-coding RNA, 1168 nt
Organism: Raphanus sativus (radish)
Lineage: Eukaryota; Viridiplantae; Streptophyta; Magnoliopsida; Brassicales; Brassicaceae
Exons: 2
Source: RefSeq, a predicted model, not a curated record
UUAUAAAUUAAGAGCUGGUUUAGGGUACAGCAGAAGCGAUCGGAACAGUGGGGGAAACUCAUCAUUUUCGUCGUUUUCAAAUUAGGGGUUUGCUCUCUCUCAAUCUCUCUCUAUCUCUCGAUUUGACCGAAAGUUGAGAUGGUAUGACCGAAAGCGGAGGUGUUGGGGAGUGGUGAAAGGCGUGCAAGAGUUCUUGGCUGGGAUGCGUGAUGUUGGGUUUAUACACUGUGUGUGUUACGGCGGGAAGCUGGUUUUGCUGUGUUGUAAAGGAGGUAUGAGUAGGGAGGUAAGAGUAAGUACGGAGGUUUUUUUUGCUGAGAUUUCUCUGGAAAGACGCAAAGGAGGUCAGAUGUGGGGUGAAGUUGAUCACUCGUGUGAUCUUGGUUUGACUGUUCCUGGUGGUAAAUUUAGAAUUGAGAAACCUCUUGUUGUUGUAAUUUGAUUUUGGGAACACUCCUUUCUUCAUUUAAGCUUGUUGCUUGUUGUUUGCGGUUUAAGAUGUGUAGACUGAAAUAAUUUCUAUCAGGGAAAUAUGUUUUCAUGUUUAACUGAAUCUACAAGAGGUCUGAUAAAUUACAAGUGUUACAGCUGCGAAGUUUGAUCUUCUUGUUCAAUGGUGUUGAUAAUGUUCACAUUAUGAAAGCUCUUGCUGUUGUGGUUUGAUUCAGGAAUACUCUCUUUCCUUCUUUUAAACUUGUUCUGAUUUGGGGUUUGAAGUGAGGGCAUUUGUUUGAGAGUUGUUGAGAGUCUAUCUUGAAUUGAGAUGUUUGUCUGUUGUGUGGCAGUGGAAGACAACUCUUUACGCAGAGAAGAUGUGGAGUCAAAAAAAAAAAACACUGGUCCAGCCCACCAGCCGGUUCCGUUUGGUAUCUUCUGGACCGCCCGGUCCAAGUCGAGGGUAAUCUGUAUGUGUUGGGUGAAGGUUUGACACAGGCGGUUCCUAAAGACGGGAGUGCAAUGCGUUAGGCUGGUUUCACAGAGCAGCGAUCACUCGAUUCACAUGGCUUGUUGGCUUGCAUACUUAGCUGAACCACCAUCUUUUGUUUUUAAUAUACUUUUUUUCCUUUCUUGUCAAUUUCCAACAAUGUUCUCUCCCGGCAGUAGACGUGGCCUGGUGGCUCGUACCCAGCUGAACCAUCAUUUUUCUUUCUAAUAUACUCUUUCCUUU